RNAcentral lists this transfer RNA (73 nucleotides) under Canis lupus familiaris (dog). It matches the Rfam family "tRNA". From Rfam's summary of the family: Transfer RNA (tRNA) molecules are approximately 80 nucleotides in length. Their secondary structure includes four short double-helical elements and three loops (D, anti-codon, and T loops). Lineage: Eukaryota; Metazoa; Chordata; Mammalia; Carnivora; Canidae. The record is from Rfam by way of RNAcentral. RNAcentral also lists the same sequence under 3 other names.
ACCUGGUUGGCUCGGACAGUAGAGCUUGUGAUUCUUGAUCUUGGGGUCAUGGGUUCAAAUCCCAUGUUGGGUG